UGAAAGUUGAAUUCAGAAGCUGCUGC
RNAcentral lists this non-coding RNA (26 nucleotides) under Mus musculus (house mouse). Lineage: Eukaryota; Metazoa; Chordata; Mammalia; Rodentia; Muridae. The record is from RNAcentral.